AGGGGUGUGGUGCAGGGAUAACACACGUGCCUAGCAAUCACGUGACCUGAGUUGAAACCCCAGUACUCCUC
This 71-nucleotide transfer RNA is filed under the name Dipodomys ordii (Ord's kangaroo rat). It matches the Rfam family "tRNA". Rfam says of the family: Transfer RNA (tRNA) molecules are approximately 80 nucleotides in length. Their secondary structure includes four short double-helical elements and three loops (D, anti-codon, and T loops). The record is from Rfam by way of RNAcentral. Lineage: Eukaryota; Metazoa; Chordata; Mammalia; Rodentia; Heteromyidae.